Long non-coding RNA from Tachysurus fulvidraco (yellow catfish), 1307 nucleotides. RefSeq lists it as uncharacterized. The transcript is spliced from 2 exons. NCBI's taxonomy places the organism in Eukaryota, Metazoa, Chordata, Actinopteri, Siluriformes, Bagridae. The record is from RefSeq and is a predicted model, not a curated record.
UUGGUGGACCUGGGGUUCAAACCCAUGACCUUCCGAUCAGUAGCCCAACACCUUAACCACUGAGCUACCAUGAGUUUCCUUUUCCAUUUUAUAGAACGACAAGUUUCAUUUACCUUUAUAUGAAUUUAUGUAACCAUUAUGUGAUUAAGAGAUGAUAUAAUUUUCAUUAGUAUGUUUACAUAUUAAGACAGAGAGUAACAGUGAAAGCUUAAAAAGGAAAUCACAAGGCUUUGUGUCAGCAGAAUAAGAACACACAGUCAGCCGUGCAGCCUAGAAGACUUCUCAGGAUGUUUUGCAAAAGUGUGAGAUCAUGAGAGACCUGACGAUAUGCUGACAGAAGCAGAAUGACCGUUAUGAGAUCAUACUAAUAAAUGGUAUAAAUAGGGUCUUAGGGCCAGUUAUGGGUGUGUGAUACUUUGGUAUUGCUUAUAGAGGGUGCAUCAGGAGAACAGACGCAGGCUUACACUUGGAGAGUGUUUCCUUGUUUGUUGUAUCUUUGCUUUUUACUUAUUUCUACUUAUACUAGAAUUGUUUGACUAUUUGAAGGAGAUUUUUGUUUGUAAUUUUCUUUUCUUUUACUUUACAUAUAUUACACACAUCUAUUUGUAUUGCACUACUUUUAAUAAAAAAAACAAGGCCUCCCAUUGUGAGAAAGGUUCAAUCAAUAGAUUAAGUAGAAGAACUUGGAGCAGAACCUUUGUUGGAAGACCGAGGGACUUCGAGGGACACCUGUGUUCAAGGUGGAGCCAUGAACACACAGACGCUUUGAGAUGUGAGGGAUUCGGAGGCCGAGUCAACACCAUGGACUCGCUCAACAAUUUCUGGCUUUGAGACCUGACUGUUGACCUGCAGCCUAAUUUAUCUCUGUCACGAGAUGAUCAUGUUACUAUUAAAUGCAAACUAGUUUCCUUUUGCACUUCAUUUUUGAAAACCGACUGCUUUCUGCAUUAGUUAUUUUAGAACUUACAUAAAGGAAGGAAGGUGAUGCUUUUUUUUUUUACAAUCACAAAGUUUUGCAUUUUAUUCUACAGAAAUUUCCCCAUGCUUAAAAAAAACAUUGAAAAGAUCGUUAAAUUUGAGAUUGAAAAACAGCUCUGCUUAUUGCUUAUGAGAGUGAAACCCCCAAAAACACAUGCACUCAAACACACAGACAGACACACUUUCUCCCUCGUUAAGCCCCUUUUUUCGGUACACACAAGCUGCCACAGCCACAGCCCCACACACACACACACACACACACACACACACACACACACACACACACACACACACACACACACACACACACACACACACACACACACACA